This 3534-nucleotide long non-coding RNA is filed under the name Homo sapiens (human). Its description in RNAcentral is "non-protein coding LINC00964:12". The record is from RNAcentral. Lineage: Eukaryota; Metazoa; Chordata; Mammalia; Primates; Hominidae.
GCCAAUUUCCACCCUCUCUCUGGAAACUGUCAUUAGGGUUAGGGAAACUGUCAUGAGAUCUGCAUAUUUUAGAUAGAGGCUGCUUGCCUUAUUUGGGCACCUAAUGAAAAAGACAUGGAGGCCAGGUGCGGUGGCUCAUGUCUGUAAUCCCAGCACUUUGGGAGGCCAAGGCGAGUGGAUCACCUGAGGUCAGGAGUUCGAGACCAGCCUGACCAACAUGGCAAAACCCCGUCUGUACUAAAAGUGCAAACACAAAGGGAACUGCGUGGCUUGUUUCUACCUGAACAUUGUCAAGUGAUUUCAUCCUUUGAAACACAGUUGUGAAGUGUGUCCAGCAGUCUGAGAACAAGAAGAAGAAGAAAAUCUAAUCCUUCAGGGUGUCUGUGUGCCAGCCCUGCUCUCAGCACUUCCCAUGUGGAACUCCUUUACUUCUCCUAACAACUCCAUGACAUGGGUUAGACUGUGAUUGUUCCCAUAUUGUUGGUAGGGAAACUGAGGCAUGCAGGUGUUACAGAGCUCUCUCAAGUGGCAAGCUUUCUGGGUGGUUACAGAGUGGCAGAGCUGGGGUAUCCCAUGAUGUCACCACACUGCUAUAUGGAAAAGAACAUUAAUCGAGCACCUACGUGCUUGAUUCUCUUAAUUCUGUGACUGAACUCUCAAAACACCCUGGGUUGGUUUCCUUUUUACAACUGCCCAAGUCAUGAGUUCAUAGGGCCUGGAUGGCUGUACCGGAUUGCUCUCCAGCUGGUCUCUCUGCAUCCAGAAAUUUCUACAACCUACUGGGGUAAAAUCUUUCUCAACCCUGCUUUUCAUCAUCACAUCUUAAAUAUCUCGAGUUGGUUCCCUAUUGCCAAAAAAAAUCCAUUGUCCAUGUAGGGUUCUUCUGCCGAAACGAGGAAAGAGUGAGUUAAAUGUUGGUAGGUGAUAUAGAGAUAGUAAUUAGGCAAUAUAAUUCGAUGUUGUUGAAAGAGCUGAGCUAUGAAAUGCAUUGUGAUAAAGGGGCUGCCUGUGUAAGUAAAUGGGUAUAAUGAGGUGUAAAACUCCCUUUCUCUCUCUCUUUCUGCUUCAUAAGCCUUUCUGCUUCUCAAGUCCAGACCUGCUGUUUUUGGGGUUUCCUUCCAAUUUUUUUGCUGCUUCCCUGGGGCCUUGGCUCUUGGGCCUGCUGCCUCUUCCCACUCUACACCUUUGGAUUCCUUAUCUUUGGCUCCACCUUAUUGCUCCAUUCUCCAAAGACAAAUCCACAAGGCAUAGGAUUUUACAGAAUAUGGGGUUACAGAAACAGCAUAGGGAAGUGUAAAAGCCUAGAAGCUUCUUACAGACGCAGCCCCUUGUCUGUAGCUCCUGACUCCCACUUAAAUGUCUGUUGGAAGCACCCUGGGGUAGCAGAACCCAGCUCAGAAGAUGGGGCUUAUCCACCAUGCCUUUUCCUAACCUGACACCCACCCAGAUAAUCUUUUCAAUAUGCAAACUAGAGCGUAUCACCCCCUGCUCAGAGCCUUUCUGUGACCUCCCAUUUUGCUUCCCAGGACUCCUUGCUCCUUAGCCAGGUCUCCAGGUCCUCCGUGAUCAGGUCUCUGCUCUUCUGCAGCCUCAUCUCUGCCAUUCUUCACCUUUUGUGCUCCAACCCAAUCUGGUUUUCUUCUCAUGCUUUGAACACCCCAAGUCUGUCUGCUUCAGGAGCUUCGUACUGGCUAAUCAUUCACCACAGCAUACUCCCAUCUAUACGGCUGGCUCUUAUAUUAUGGGUCUCAGCUAAAAUGUCAUCCCUUCAAAGAGACCUUCUUGGACCACCCCCGCCAUUCUCUAUCCUAUUUCUCUCUUUUAUUUUCUUUGAAGCACUUACCCACUUUCAGAAACUAUCUGGCUUGCUCAUGUGUUUGUCUCUAGAUUGUCUACUUCCCCUCCUAGACUGUACUCUCCACAAGAGAGCAAAGCUGUGUCUGUUGCAUUCACUGUUGUCUUCCCAGAAGCAAGCAGCAUGCUGGAGACCCUCAAAUACAUGUGAAAUGAAGGGACACCUUGUGUUAUUUCACCUGUUUCCACCUGGUUCCCAAGUGGCAAGCUUGCAUUGAGGUUACAAAGUGGCAAAGCUGGGAUAUCACAUGAUGUCACCAUGAUGCUAUAUGAAAUGUAACAUUAAUUGAGUACCUAUGUGACCAGUUCUUUAAUUCUGUAAGUGAACUCUCAAAAAACCCUAGGUAAGUAUUAUCAACUCGAACUUUAACGGAUGAGGAAACUGGAAUUUUUUAAAAAAUGACUUAACCAAACAUCACAGAGCUGUAAACCAGGAUUUGAAUGGGUGAGCUGCACUCAGCCUUCAUCUCAAGUCAGUUUGCCUCUUUCUCCAAGAAGCCACAGUUGAUCCUGACCACAUCACAUAUGAGUUGCCUGGAUUGCAGUCAUUCAUUCACUAAGCAUCUUUUAGGAGGUCACAUGCCAGGCACCGUGUUAGGUAAUGAUUUCUCCAAGUCACAGGAGCCGUGGUUCUGACUUUAGAAAGUUUCUCAUCUGAUGGGAGGGCAGGCAAGUAAAUCAGUAAGGGUGGUCCCUGUCGGGACACUGGUUGAGAAAUACCCAGGAACACUCUGAUUGAGAAAUACCCAAAGUGCAAAGUGACAGGGACUAGAGGCAUCUCCACUGGACCAGAGAGCUCUGGAUUCGUCUUGAGCUAAGUCUCUGGAGGUAGGUGUCAGCUACAAGGAGAAAAGCUGUAUAUUUUGAGAUAUGGGAUGCAGGGCCUUUUAGUUCCAUAAAUAAGAGAACUAUGGUGUGAAUACCACAUGCCCUGGGCUGAACUAAGUGGGCUCUAGGGGAAGGUAUACUGGGCAGGGAGUUUGGAGAACUGGUUUCUGUCUAAUCCUUCUCUAACUCUGUGACCUUGAAUGCAUCAUUUCCCCUCUGAGUCUCAGAUUCUCUUUCUGGCUGGCAUUUAAUGAAACCUAAAUAUUCUAGACCUUCUACUUGUUCCAUAAGUGCUCAGUCCUACACUCACUCUCCUCUGGCACCAAUAUACUGAUUACUCAUUUUAUGCCCAGCAGAGCACUGCGUGUUUUGAAAUAUACAAAUAGUGGGAAACGAAAUCUUUGUUCUGGAUGCAGUUAUAAUUUGGAAAGCGAGGAAAUAAAUUAUAACAAGGGGAAAAAACAGACACAGAGGGAUUGAAAUGCAUAACAAUAGAGAUGAAACACGAAGAGUGAUAAAUGAAGAUUGAGUGUGCACACCUUCUGGAGGAGCCCUGAUUGAGUAUUUUAAAAUACUACUAAAGUCAUGCCGUGUGACUUCUGAAGCUAGCUCCUAAGAAGUCCUUGCAGCUUCUGCCUGCGACUCUUAGAACACUUGCUUUGAAGGAUGCCAGAUGCUGUCUUAAAAGUCUGAGCACUCUGAAACCAUCAUGCUGUGAGGAAGCCCAAGCUAACCACAUGGGCAAAAAAGAUGCCCUCUGACUGCCACCAUUUGAGACACUCUAAUUAAGAACUGCCUCAUUGAGCCCAUGAGGCCCUGUGAAUGAUAAUAAUAAAUUGUUUUUAACCACUA